GCGGGAGUGGCGGAACGGCAGACGCACCAGAUUCAGGUUCUGGCGCUGUAACAGGUGUGUGGGUUCAAAUCCCAUCUCCCGCACCA
This 86-nucleotide transfer RNA is filed under the name Clostridia bacterium. RNAcentral describes it as "tRNA-Leu". It matches the Rfam family "tRNA". From Rfam's summary of the family: Transfer RNA (tRNA) molecules are approximately 80 nucleotides in length. Lineage: Bacteria; Bacillati; Bacillota; Clostridia. The record is from RNAcentral.